Molecule: ribosomal RNA, 253 nt
Filed under: uncultured bacterium
Lineage: Bacteria
Description: partial 16S ribosomal RNA
Rfam family: Bacterial small subunit ribosomal RNA
Source: RNAcentral
CACGUAGGGCGCAAGCGUUGUCCGGAAUUAUUGGGCGUAAAGAGCUCGUAGGCGGUCUGUUGCGUCCGCUGUGAAAACUCGGGGCUUAACCCCGAGCCUGCAGUGGAUACGGGCAGACUAGAGGUAGGUAGGGGAGAAUGGAAUUCCCGGUGUAGCGGUGAAAUGCGCAGAUAUCGGGAAGAACACCGGUGGCGAAGGCGGCUCUCUGGCCCGCAACUGACGCUGAGGCGCGAAAGCGUGGGGAGCGAACAGG